This 360-nucleotide long non-coding RNA is filed under the name Dromaius novaehollandiae (emu). Its description in RNAcentral is "lncRNA (ENSDNVG00000002484.1)". The record is from RNAcentral. Lineage: Eukaryota; Metazoa; Chordata; Aves; Casuariiformes; Dromaiidae.
UGCCGCGCUCGUACAGCGCCGACAUCCCCGAGGGCCGGCGGGCCACCGCAGAGCCGUCCCCUGUCAGCGAGCUGCGGGCUCGGUUUGGCACUUAGUCAUGGGCCCUAUUUCCCAAAAGCGCAGCAGCACCGUCUCUCCCAUUGGUCCAGUAGUGAGUUUUUAGGGAACCAACUGGAAAACCUUAUGUGGAUGUAUUGGAAUCUCAUCCUUUCCACCCAUCUUUUCCACCAAUCUGGUGGGGUAACCUGGAUUGCCAGGGAGUUCUCCUGGAGGGUAGCAGCUGGUGAUUUGAACAACUGCAGUCUGAAGAGGGACAAAAACCUCCAACUUCUUGGAUACAGUCAUAAUGAGACUGAAUGA